Lathyrus oleraceus (garden pea) is the source of this 1002-nucleotide long non-coding RNA. RefSeq lists it as uncharacterized. The transcript is spliced from 2 exons. The record is from RefSeq and is a predicted model, not a curated record. NCBI's taxonomy places the organism in Eukaryota, Viridiplantae, Streptophyta, Magnoliopsida, Fabales, Fabaceae.
UUUGAUUCCAUUCUUUCACUGCCACGUGUCCCUUAAACUUCUCCACAUUUACUCCUAACGUCUCUCACACUGAAAGAAAAAUCCAUAAAAAAAAUAAAAAAAAUUCCUUACAAAUCCAUAUAUCUCUCUCUCACGAAUCCACUCAAGGGGAGACACCUCACCCUUAUCUUCUCUCACUCAGACUCCCUCACAGAAAAAACCCUCCGCCUCUCUCAAAAUCCCUCACUCUCCUUCUCCCUGAAAACCGUCCCCUCCGCCUCACAUCACUACUCUCUUUCUCUCUCACAAAACCCUCAAACGCACCUUUCUUUUUCACUCACAACCUCAAUCCCUCCAUCUUCGCCUUCCACCUACUGCCGCCGUGGAUUCACCACCGGCAAAACCCCUUUGCCACCAAAUCUCUCUCCAUCACCACCUCAAAAUAAAUCACAACCACCACAACGUCAACUCCACCAUAAAUUCUCCGUCCGUGCCGGCAACGAUCCGCUUGUCACCGUGAAAACCCACAAAAUCACCGUCAAACCCUUGUUUCGCCGCCUCAUCUCCAACCACCGAUAACUUACCUCAAACCACCACAGUCAAACCCCUCAUCGACCAACCCUACAGCCAUCGCGCAACCCUUUAGCUACCGCAUUUUUCUGCAACAACCUCACACCGCCAUGACGUUUCAUAUCCAGUGAACAACCAUUUGAAGCGAGCUGAAUGGAUUUCUGAGUUCUGGGUUCGAAGUCAAAGACCCCUAAAUACGUUGAUUGGACGAAGGCCUUCAAGAUUGUUGCUGCUGUCACGCCUUGUUUCUACUUCCGUUGAUAUCAUAAUUACGACUGAUGUUGUUGGCACGCAACUUGUUCUAUAUUUAAUUUGAGUCGGCGCAGUAUUUGAGCCAAGCUUCGACUUGUUGAUGUUAGUACAAAAGUAUUAUGAUGUAAAUAUUGUUUUUUUUUUUCAUUUGAAAAUGGCUUGUUCUUUCAAAUUUGAUUAAGAACACAGUGUGGUGCAACC